CCCAUAUCUAGUAAGGCUUUGAAGCAACUGGACAAAACCAGAAGGAAUUUUCUAUGGGAAGGGAAUAACAAAAGCCAUAAAUUCCAUUUGAUCAAUUGGCCAAUAGUCUUGUUACCAAAAAAGUUAGGCGGUUUGGGCAUAGAGAGUUAGCAUUGCACAACAAAUGCCUACUUAUGAAUUGGUUGUGGAGAUACACUCAAGAGGAGCAUAGCCUUUGCAAGGAUGUGAUUAUUGGUAUACAUGGAGCACUAAACCACUGGUGUUCUAAUGUUUCAACAGCGCCAUAUGGAGUUGGUGUCUGGAGAAGUAUACGCAAAUUAUGGGAGGUGUUCUCUCAACACACACACUUA
RNAcentral lists this unclassified non-coding RNA (350 nucleotides) under Hevea brasiliensis (rubber tree). Lineage: Eukaryota; Viridiplantae; Streptophyta; Magnoliopsida; Malpighiales; Euphorbiaceae. The record is from RNAcentral.